UGGGGAAUAUUGCACAAUGGGCGCAAGCCUGAUGCAGCCAUGCCGCGUGCGUGAAGAAGGCCUUCGGGUUGUAAAGCACUUUCAGCGAGGAGGAAGGUGGUGAGCUUAAUACGCUCAUCAAUUGACGUUACUCGCAGAAGAAGCACCGGCUAACUCCGUGCCAGCAGCCGCGGUAAUACGGAGGGUGCAAGCGUUAAUCGGAAUUACUGGGCGUAAAGCGCACGCAGGCGGUUUGUUAAGUCAGAUGUGAAAUCCCCGGGCUCAACCUGGGAACUGCAUUUGAAACUGGCAAGCUAGAGUCUCGUAGAGGGGGGUAGAAUUCCAGGUGUAGCGGUGAAAUGCGUAGAGAUCUGGAGGAAUACCGGUGGCGAAGGCGGCCCCCUGGACGAAGACUGACGCUCAGGUGCGAAAGCGUGGGGCAGCAAACAGGAUUAGAUACCCUGGUAGUCCACGCUGUAAACGAUGUCGAUUUUGGAGGUUGUGCCCUUGAGGCGUGGCUUCCGGAGCUAACGCGUUAAAUCGACCGCCUGGGGAGUACGGCCGCAAGGUUAAAACUCAAAGGAAUU
Molecule: ribosomal RNA, 566 nt
Filed under: uncultured bacterium
Lineage: Bacteria
Description: partial 16S ribosomal RNA
Rfam family: Bacterial small subunit ribosomal RNA
Source: RNAcentral